AGAAUCAACGCUGGCGGCGUGCCUAACACAUGCAAGUCGCACGAGAAAGGGGACUUCGGUCCCUGAGUACAGUGGCGCACGGGUGAGUAACACGUGAAUCAUCUACCUUCGAGUGGGGAAUAAACUGAGAGAAAUCUUAGCUAAUACCGCAUAAUACCCACGGGUCAAAGCAGCAAUGCGCUUGAAGAGGAGUUCGCGGCAGAUUAGUUAGUUGGCGGGUAAUGGCCCACCAAGACGAUGAUCUGUAU
This 248-nucleotide ribosomal RNA is filed under the name uncultured bacterium. RNAcentral's name for it is "partial small subunit ribosomal RNA". It matches the Rfam family "Bacterial small subunit ribosomal RNA", at positions 26 to 286 of the family's 1533-position model. The record is from RNAcentral.